RNAcentral lists this ribosomal RNA (484 nucleotides) under uncultured bacterium. RNAcentral's name for it is "partial 16S ribosomal RNA". It matches the Rfam family "Bacterial small subunit ribosomal RNA", at positions 30 to 507 of the family's 1533-position model. The record is from RNAcentral.
AUUGAACGCUGGCGGCAGGCCUAACACAUGCAAGUCGAGCGGAUGAAGGGAGCUUGCUCCUGGAUUCAGCGGCGGACGGGUGAGUAAUGCCUAGGAAUCUGCCUGGUAGUGGGGGAUAACGUCCGGAAACGGGCGCUAAUACCGCAUACGUCCUGAGGGAGAAAGUGGGGGAUCUUCGGACCUCACGCUAUCAGAUGAUCCUAGGUCGGAUUAGCUAGUUGGUGGGGUAAAGGCCUACCAAGGCGACGAUCCGUAACUGGUCUGAGAGGAUGAUCAGUCACACUGGAACUGAGACACGGUCCAGACUCCUACGGGAGGCAGCAGUGGGGAAUAUUGGACGAUGGGCGAAAGCCUGAUCCAGCCAUGCCGCGUGUGUGAAGAAGGUCUUCGGAUUGUAAAGCACUUUAAGUUGGGAGGAAGGGCAGUAAGUUAAUACCUUGCUGUUUUGACGUUACCAACAGAAUAAGCACCGGCUAACUUCGUG